UACGGAAGGCAGCAGGUGGGGAAUAUUGCACAAUGGGCGCAAGCCUGAUGCAGCCAUGCCGCGUGUAUGAAGAAGGCCUUCGGGUUGUAAAGUACUUUCAGUCGUGAGGAAGGUGUUAAGGUUAAUAACCUUAGCAAUUGACGUUAGCGACAGAAGAAGCACCGGCUAACUCCGUGCCAGCAGCCGCGGUAAUACGGAGGGUGCGAGCGUUAAUCGGAAUUACUGGGCGUAAAGGGCACGCAGGCGGUUAAUUAAGUUGGAUGUGAAAUCCCCGGGCUUAACCUGGGAAUGGCAUUCAAGACUGGUUAGCUAGAGUCUUGUAGAGGGGGUAGAAUUCCAUGUGUAGCGGUGAAAUGCGUAGAGAUGUGGAGGAAUACCGGUGGCGAAGGCGGCCCCUGGGACAAAGACUGACGCUCAUGUGCGAAAGCGUGGGGAGCAAACAGGAUUAGAUACC
RNAcentral lists this ribosomal RNA (454 nucleotides) under uncultured bacterium. RNAcentral describes it as "bacterial SSU rRNA". It matches the Rfam family "Bacterial small subunit ribosomal RNA", at positions 340 to 786 of the family's 1533-position model. The record is from RNAcentral.